AACGCACAUUGCGCCCUUUGGUAUUCCUUAGGGCAUGCCUGUUCGAGCGUCAUCUAACCCCUCAAGCAACGCUUGGUGUUGGGCGCCUGUCCCGCCUCCGCGCGCGGACUCGCCCCGAAGACAUUGGCGGCCUGUGUAUUGGCCACGAGCGCAGCAGACCCGCGGCUCGUGCCCUCUCGCGCGGGCGCUCCACGAAGCGACCACCCCCAGUUUUGACCUCGGAUCAGGUAGGGAUACCCGCUGAACUUAA
RNAcentral lists this unclassified non-coding RNA (250 nucleotides) under uncultured fungus. RNAcentral's name for it is "sequence contains ITS2". The record is from RNAcentral. Lineage: Eukaryota; Fungi.